This 303-nucleotide ribosomal RNA is filed under the name uncultured bacterium. RNAcentral's name for it is "bacterial SSU rRNA". It matches the Rfam family "Bacterial small subunit ribosomal RNA", at positions 355 to 654 of the family's 1533-position model. The record is from RNAcentral.
UGAGGAAUAUUGGUCAAUGGGGCGGAAGCCUGAACCAGCCAUGCCGCGUGAAGGAAUAAGGCCCUAUGGGUCGUAAACUUCUUUUGACGGGGAGCAAUAAGGUCUACGUGUAGACCGAUGAGAGUACUCGUUGAAUAAGCAUCGGCUAACUCCGUGCCAGCAGCCGCGGUAAUACGGAGGAUGCAAGCGUUAUCCGGAUUUAUUGGGUUUAAAGGGUGCGUAGGCUGUUUGUCAAGUCAGAGGUGAAAGGCCGCAGCUCAACUGUGGAAUUGCCUUUGAUACUGGCAGGCUUGAAUACUGUUG